AUUGAACGCUGGCGGCAUGCCUAACACAUGCAAGUCGAGCGGUUGAAUGUUUCUUUCUCCUUUAUUCAGCUUCGGACUGGUGAUUAAUUCCUAUGUUUCUGCCUUUUUUUUUUUUAUUACGUCCUUAAACGGGCUCUAAUACCGCAUUCUUCCUUAUUUUGUAAUUUUUUUAUCUUCUUUCCUCUCGCUUUCUUAUUACCCUAGGUCGGAUUAGCUAGUUGGUUGGGUAAAGGCCUACCAAGGCGACGAUCCGUAACUGGUAUGAGAGGAUGAUCAGUCACACUGGAACUGAGACACGGAACAGAGUCCUACGGGAGGCAGCAGUGGGGAAUAUUGGACAAUGGGCGAAAGCAUGAUAAAGCCAUGCCGCGUGUGUGAAGAAGGUCUUCGGAUUGUAAAGCAAUUUAAGUUGGGAGGAAGGGAAGUAAGUUAAUAACUUGCUGUAUUGACGUUAACAACAGAAUAAGCAACGGCUAACUACGUG
RNAcentral lists this ribosomal RNA (484 nucleotides) under uncultured bacterium. RNAcentral describes it as "partial 16S ribosomal RNA". It matches the Rfam family "Bacterial small subunit ribosomal RNA", at positions 30 to 507 of the family's 1533-position model. The record is from RNAcentral.